RNAcentral lists this ribosomal RNA (54 nucleotides) under Scleroderma bovista. Its description in RNAcentral is "partial 28S ribosomal RNA". Lineage: Eukaryota; Fungi; Basidiomycota; Agaricomycetes; Boletales; Sclerodermataceae. The record is from RNAcentral.
UUGACCUCAAAUCAGGUAGGACUACCCGCUGAAUUUAAGCAUAUCAAUAAGCGA